RNAcentral lists this small nuclear RNA (103 nucleotides) under Amborella trichopoda. The record is from RNAcentral. Lineage: Eukaryota; Viridiplantae; Streptophyta; Magnoliopsida; Amborellales; Amborellaceae.
GUCUGUUUGGCGGCAUCGGAUAAAAUCGAAACGAUACAAAGAAGAUUAGCAUAGCCUUGGCUCAAUGAUGACCGGCACAAAUCAAGAAAUGGUCCAAUUUUUU